Molecule: ribosomal RNA, 247 nt
Filed under: uncultured bacterium
Lineage: Bacteria
Description: partial small subunit ribosomal RNA
Rfam family: Bacterial small subunit ribosomal RNA
Source: RNAcentral
AGAUUGAACGCUGGCGGCGUGCCUAACACAUGCAAGUCGAGCGGUAACAGGUGUAGCAAUACAUGCUGACGAGCGGCGAACGGGUGAGUAAUGCUUUGGAAUCUUCCCAGUAGUGGGGAAUAACCAGUCGAAAGAUUGGCUAAUACCGCAUAAGCUCGAGAGAGGAAAGCCGAAAGGCGCUGAGAGAGGAGUCCGCGGCCGAUUAGCUAGUUGGUAGGGUAAUGGCCUACCAAGGCGACGAUCGGUA